GUCUUCGAGGUGUAACGGUAGCACACUCGGCUCGUUUUCGAAAGAUCCAGGUUCGAGUCCCGGCGAGGGCA
Molecule: transfer RNA, 71 nt
Filed under: Stegodyphus mimosarum
Lineage: Eukaryota; Metazoa; Arthropoda; Arachnida; Araneae; Eresidae
Rfam family: tRNA
About the family: Transfer RNA (tRNA) molecules are approximately 80 nucleotides in length. Their secondary structure includes four short double-helical elements and three loops (D, anti-codon, and T loops).
Source: Rfam by way of RNAcentral